UGUGUGUUAGUGGAAGCGUCUGGAAAGGCGCGCGAUACAGGGUGACAGCCCCGUACACAAAAAUGCACAUGCUGUGAGCUCGAUGAGUAGGGCGGGACACGUGGUAUCCUGUCUGAAUAUGGGGGGACCAUCCUCCAAGGCUAAAUACUCCUGACUGACCGAUAGUGAACCAGUACCGUGAGGGAAAGGCGAAAAGAACCCCGGCGAGGGGAGUGAAAAAGAACCUGAAACCGUGUACGUACAAGCAGUGGGAGCACGCUUAGGCGUGUGACUGCGUACCUUUUGUAUAAUGGGUCAGCGACUUAUAUUCUGUAGCAAGGUUAACCGAAUAGGGGAGCCGAAGGGAAACCGAGUCUUAACUGGGCGUUAAGUUGCAGGGUAUAGACCCGAAACCCGGUGAUCUAGCCAUGGGCAGGUUGAAGGUUGGGUAACACUAACUGGAGGACCGAACCGACUAAUGUUGAAAAAUUAGCGGAUGACUUGUGGCUGGGGGUGAAAGGCCAAUCAAACCGGGAGAUAGCUGGUUCUCCCCGAAAGCUAUUUAGGUAGCGCCUCGUGAAUUCAUCUCCGGGGGUAGAGCACUGUUUCGGCAAGGGGGUCAUCCCGACUUACCAACCCGAUGCAAACUGCGAAUACCG
This 638-nucleotide ribosomal RNA is filed under the name Escherichia coli. Its description in RNAcentral is "partial 23S ribosomal RNA". It matches the Rfam family "Bacterial large subunit ribosomal RNA", at positions 323 to 965 of the family's 2925-position model. Lineage: Bacteria; Pseudomonadati; Pseudomonadota; Gammaproteobacteria; Enterobacterales; Enterobacteriaceae. The record is from RNAcentral.